GACGAACGCUGGAGGCGUGCUUAACACAUGCAAGUCGAACGAUGAAAUGGAGCUUGCUCCAUGGAUUAGUGGCGAACGGGUGAGUAACACGUGAAUAACCUGCCCUUAAUUUUGGAAUAACCCAGGGAAACCUGGGCUAAUACCGGAUAAGUAAACCUGUGGCAUCACAUGGUUUUGGAAAGUUUUUCGAUUAAGGAUGGAUUCGCGGCCUAUCAGCUUGUUGGUGAGGUAAUGGCUCACCAAGGCGACGACGGGUAGCCGGCCUGAGAGGGGGAACGGCCAGACGGGGACUGAGACACGGCCCAGACUCCUACGGGAGGCAGCAGUGGGGAAUAUUGCGCAAUGGACGAAAGUUUGACGCAGCGACGCCUCGUGAGGGACGAAGGUCUUCGGAUUGUAAACCUCUUUCAGCAGGGACGAAGCGAAAGUGACGGUACCUGCGGAAGAAGCACCGGCUAACUAUGUGCCAGCAGCCGCGGUAA
RNAcentral lists this ribosomal RNA (482 nucleotides) under uncultured bacterium. Its description in RNAcentral is "partial 16S ribosomal RNA". It matches the Rfam family "Bacterial small subunit ribosomal RNA", at positions 28 to 523 of the family's 1533-position model. The record is from RNAcentral.